This 775-nucleotide ribosomal RNA is filed under the name uncultured Neocallimastigales. Its description in RNAcentral is "partial large subunit ribosomal RNA". It matches the Rfam family "Eukaryotic large subunit ribosomal RNA", at positions 23 to 644 of the family's 3401-position model. Lineage: Eukaryota; Fungi; Neocallimastigomycota; Neocallimastigomycetes; Neocallimastigales. The record is from RNAcentral.
AGAGAGAGACAUGCGCGCAUAUCAAUAAGCGGAGGAAAAGAAACUAACAAGGAUUCCCUUAGUAACGGCGAGUGAAGCGGGAAGAGCUCAAAUUUGAAAUCUUCAAGGUUCUACCUUGACGAAUUGUAGUUUAUAGAAGUGUUUUCUGUUAGUGGAGUGGCAAAAGUUCUUUGGAAUAGGACAUCAUAGAGGGUGAGAAUCCCGUAUUUGGUCAUUCCUCCUAGCAUUGUGAUACACUUUCAACGAGUCGGAUUGUUUGGGAAUGCAGUCCAAAAUGGGUGGUAAAUUUCAUCUAAAGCUGAAUAUUGGCGAGAGACCGAUAGCGAACAAGUACCGUGAGGGAAAGAUGAAAAGAACUUUGAAAAGAGAGUUAAACAGUACGUGAAAUUGUCAAAAGGGAAGCGUUUGACACCAGUGUUGUUUUUCCGAAAAUCAAUUACGAAUGUUUUAUUUUUGAGGAGUUAUGACUUCAUCGGCUUGCUCCUUUCUUUAUGAAACUUUCUUAAUGCACUUUUCGGUUAACAAGUCAACAUCAAUUUCUUUUGUUGUAAAAGGGUAUGAGGAAGGUGGCUUUCCUUUUCGGAGAAAGUGUUUAUAGCCUUGUGCCUCUGCAAUCGGAGAGAUUGAGGUCUGCAGCGUAGAUCCUUCGGGGUUAGAUACGUUUGUGCUAAGUUAUAGCUUUUCAUAGACAACUUGUUGACUAUGUUUAGUCUUGUAGCUUACUCGCUGACGCUAUUUUACCUACGCUUAGGAUGUUGAUAGUCACAGCGUGUAC